UUCCACCUGUUCGUCUCUCGUUCAAUUCCCAUCGUGGAUCUCGCAUCUUUCUCGCCCACCACACAGGUUGUGCCGCCGUUGACGUUUCGUCGGAUCCCACCUCCCCCCGGUGCAGUCCAUGCUCGCCCCAUCGGAACAUUGCCUCCGUCCCCGUCUAGCCGUCGAUGUCCUCCUUAUCCUGUCUUUCGUUGGAAAGGCCACCGGGGAGCAUCUAUUUGUCGGGGCGGCCACGAGCUCCAUCCCCAGAUCGGUGGCGCACGACACCCCUGAAGCACGGGUAUGUAUCCGAUUUUAUCUGGAGUUCUCGGGCGCGCUGUCGCCAGAUUUUCCACGCUCGGGCACCUAGCCAUGCGGUGGUGAGUGAUAAAAGCAAUAGUAAGUUUUGGGCGCCGCCGGUGAUGUCGGCACGUGGAACUCGGUGGGGCUGGAGCCUGGAGGUACUCUAUCAGGUCAUCGGGUGGAUCGCCUUCUUUGCCUGGUCCUUCAGCUUCUACCUGCAGGUGGUCCUCAACUACAAGCGCAAGAGGAACCUUCAUGGUACGAGACGCCGAGAUGGACAACUUCACUAUACCCUUUAUUCCAAAUUAUCUUGCUGAUUGAUGUUAAGGGUCUGUUUGGAUCGAUGCCUGCGGCAGCCAAGCCAAAAAAUUGGUAGUUGACCAGAGGGCGGGCACUUGUUUGGUUCGGGGCCGAUAAUUUGGCUGCCCAGGCCGCAUCAGCUUAUGCAGUUCAUUUUUUCCGCCAUUGAAUUGGCGAGUUGCUGGCGGCUGAAACCUGCGCAAAUUUUUUGGCUAGCCCGUGAUUUGGUAGGGCGUGCAGGGGCAGCAUCCAAACAGGCCCUAAGAAACUAUGAAAAACUUCUGGAUGACCUAAUUUUUUAUUUCUUAUUCUAA
This is a long non-coding RNA of Triticum dicoccoides, 893 nucleotides long. RefSeq lists it as uncharacterized. NCBI's taxonomy places the organism in Eukaryota, Viridiplantae, Streptophyta, Magnoliopsida, Poales, Poaceae. The transcript has 2 exons. The record is from RefSeq and is a predicted model, not a curated record.